RNAcentral lists this ribosomal RNA (253 nucleotides) under uncultured bacterium. RNAcentral's name for it is "partial 16S ribosomal RNA". It matches the Rfam family "Bacterial small subunit ribosomal RNA", at positions 524 to 776 of the family's 1533-position model. The record is from RNAcentral.
UACGAAGGGGGCUAGCGUUGCUCGGAAUUACUGGGCGUAAAGGGAGCGUAGGCGGACUGUUAAGUUAGAGGUGAAAGCCCGGGGCUCAACUCCGGAAUUGCCUUUAAGACUGCAUCGCUAGAAUUGUGGAGAGGUAAGUGGAAUUCCGAGUGUAGAGGUGAAAUUCGUAGAUAUUCGGAAGAACACCAGUGGCGAAGGCGACUUACUGGACACAUAUUGACGCUGAGGUGCGAAAGCGUGGGGAGCAAACAGG